UCUCUAAAUUACAGCGUACAAAGAAAAUAAAAGCAUCAACUAAAAAAUGGACAGACGACACCCUCGCAAACCUUCAGCAAUCAGUUCCUACCAAGUGGGAGCGACCUACAGGUAAAUGUCUCCUUAAAAUCUGACUUCUUAGAAGAAGUAAAUAUAGAUGCAUACACCUCUUUGUUUGCAUUGGCUGGUGCCCUAUCUGCUGCCUUGAACCGCUUCGCUGCGCCACCAUUAGUCACUCCUUUUACAGUCUCAACCUUCCCGUUUGCUUCCACUUCACCAACAACUUUCUCUACACCCUUAGCAUCAACAAGCCCAUGCUUUUUACCACUUAAACACUGUGAAUCCAGAACCACACUAUCUUCUCCAUUAACAGCCACCUCCCCAUUUUUCACUUUCUUUGGCUUCUUAUCCUUCACUUUUAAUCUCUCUUCCUUCAUCUUUACCCUCAAAACUGCCACCUCCUCGUCGUUUCCAUUUAUCACAAUCUUAUCAGAUUCCUCAAAUUCCUUGUAACAAACCAAGCAUGAUGAUGAUUUCACCUCCUUCAAUGCCUUAGCACUCAAAACAUGGCCACAAUUCUUCAA
Molecule: unclassified non-coding RNA, 584 nt
Filed under: Hevea brasiliensis (rubber tree)
Lineage: Eukaryota; Viridiplantae; Streptophyta; Magnoliopsida; Malpighiales; Euphorbiaceae
Source: RNAcentral